UACGUAGGGUGCAAGCGUUGUCCGGAAUUAUUGGGCGUAAAGGGCUCGUAGGCGGUCUGUCACGUCGGGAGUGAAAACUCGGGGCUUAACCCCGAGCCUGCUUCCGAUACGGGCAGACUAGAGGUAUGCAGGGGAGAACGGAAUUCCUGGUGUAGCGGUGAAAUGCGCAGAUAUCAGGAGGAACACCGGUGGCGAAGGCGGUUCUCUGGGCCGUAACUGACGCUGAGGAGCGAAAGCAUGGGGAGCGAACAGG
Molecule: ribosomal RNA, 253 nt
Filed under: uncultured bacterium
Lineage: Bacteria
Description: partial 16S ribosomal RNA
Rfam family: Bacterial small subunit ribosomal RNA
Source: RNAcentral